CCUACGGGAGGCAGCAGUAGGGAAUAUUGGGCAAUGGACGCAAGUCUGACCCAGCCAUGCCGCGUGCAGGAAGAAGGCGUUAUGCGUUGUAAACUGCUUUUAUACAGGAAGAAACGACUCUUGCGAGAGGCAUUGACGGUACUGUAUGAAUAAGCACCGGCUAACUCCGUGCCAGCAGCCGCGGUAAUACGGAGGGUGCAAGCGUUGUCCGGAUUUAUUGGGUUUAAAGGGUGCGCAGGUGGUUUAUUAAGUCAGUGGUGAAAGACGGUCGCUCAACGAUUGCAGUGCCAUUGAAACUGGUAGACUUGAGUAAAGUAGAGGUGGGCGGAAUUGAUAGUGUAGCGGUGAAAUGCAUAGAUAUUAUCAAGAACUCCAAUUGCGAAGGCAGCUCACUUGGCUUUUACUGACACUCAUGCACGAAAGUGUGGGUAUCAAACAGGAUUAGAUACCCUGGUAGUCCACACUGUAAACGAUGAUAACUAGGUGUCGGCCGAAUCUGGUCGGUGCCACAGCGAAAGCGUUAAGUUAUCCAACCUGGGGAGUUACGCGGNAACGGUUGAACUUCAAGGAUUGACGGCNGAGAGNGCGAGCGACGACGAGGAGGAGG
RNAcentral lists this ribosomal RNA (607 nucleotides) under uncultured bacterium. Its description in RNAcentral is "bacterial SSU rRNA". It matches the Rfam family "Bacterial small subunit ribosomal RNA", at positions 338 to 944 of the family's 1533-position model. The record is from RNAcentral.